Molecule: transfer RNA, 58 nt
Filed under: Lepisosteus oculatus (spotted gar)
Lineage: Eukaryota; Metazoa; Chordata; Actinopteri; Semionotiformes; Lepisosteidae
Rfam family: tRNA
About the family: Transfer RNA (tRNA) molecules are approximately 80 nucleotides in length.
Source: Rfam by way of RNAcentral
UAGCUCUGCUGGUAGAGCAUGAGACUCAUAAUCCCAGGGUAGUGGGUUUGUGUCCCAC